CGAUCGGGGGUAACUCCGGUAGUGGCGGACGGGUGAGUAACGCGUAGGUAUCUGUCCAUGGGUGGGGGAUAACAGUGGGAAACUGCUGCUAAUACCGCAUGAUGACCGAGGUCCAAAGGCGCAAGUCGCCUGUGGAGGAGCCUGCGUACGAUUAGCUUGUUGGUGGGGUAACUGCCUACCAAGGCGACGAUCGUUAGCUGGUCUGAGAGGAUGAUCAGCCACACUGGGACUGAGACACGGCCCAGACUCC
Molecule: ribosomal RNA, 250 nt
Filed under: uncultured bacterium
Lineage: Bacteria
Description: partial 16S ribosomal RNA
Rfam family: Bacterial small subunit ribosomal RNA
Source: RNAcentral